This 450-nucleotide transfer RNA is filed under the name Acidithiobacillus ferrooxidans. Its description in RNAcentral is "partial 16S-23S ribosomal RNA intergenic spacer". The stretch from base 44 to 117 matches the Rfam family "tRNA". The record is from RNAcentral. Lineage: Bacteria; Pseudomonadati; Pseudomonadota; Acidithiobacillia; Acidithiobacillales; Acidithiobacillaceae.
AAGAAAGGGUCUAGACCCCACACACGCCACUCGGUAAGGAAUUGGGCCUAUAGCUCAGCUGGCUAGAGCACACGACUGAUAAUCGUGAGGUCAGUGGUUCGAGUCCACUUGGGCCCACCAAAUGGGGCUGUAGCUCAGUUGGGAGAGCACCUGCUUUGCAAGCAGGGGGUCACCGGUUCGAGACCGGUCAGCUCCACCACAGGGAUGGAAGGCCCGCAAAGAGCGCGGGCUGGUCGCUGGGGAAGCGGUAUGGAAGUGAUUUGGGAUUGGAUUUUUAGUGUGUAGUGCUGAAUGACGCUUUACGGAUGUAGGAAGUUAAAAGGCGCUAUUGAUCACUGCCCACUCGGAAGAUUUGAGUGCGUUAGUUUGUUCUUUGACAGUUGAGGAAGGGAAGGCCAUGUUUGCCAUCUUGCCGAUGGCGGACCUCCAGGUGGAUGCUUGGGGAUAUAU